AUGAAAAGAUGCAAAGUAGGGAGGCCGGCGGGAAGGAUUCAGGGGUGGAAUUGCUGGAGUCACAGAUGGAGAGCAGGAGCCUUGCUGGAAGGCUCACGCGGAGGUGGAGCUGUGGGGAGGGGCUUGGACCAUUUCCUUGCAGGGCAAGUGAACAGAGGCAUAGGACACACGGGAGCUAAAGUCAAAUUAAAAAGACCAGAAGUGGGGACACAGAGUGAAACUCGGCUCGCCGUCCCUAAGCCCCAGAGUGGUGUUCUUGAAGCACCCAGGGCUCGAUCUAAAAAUCAGACCGUGAACUCAGACUCCAGCAUUGCGAUGUGGGCUUCCCACUCGCACAGCACAUGGUCACUGAAACCAUCCCAAGGGAAUUUAAAGCAGCAGGACCCCGGCGUUACUGUUUGGUUGUUGCCUGGAGCCAGUGGAACAUCCGACCCACGCAUGGAGGCUGCUCAGCGCUUCUGCAUGAAUUAAAUGAGGUAGUUCAAUGGGGCAUGUGGACUAGGAAGCCGUCACUGCGUUGGACGUUGGCCUUGCAAUGCAAACACCACCCCAUCCCACUCAGGACACGCCUGGGAAGGCACUCAGCUCAUUGAAAGAGCCCAUCAGUUUUGCUUCUUCUCUGUGACCCAUUCUGGGGAGCUGUGACCAACAGCAUAGCGGUAACUUCAGGCCUGCAAGAAGAGGGUGAAAAGUAGAUACAGUUAGCUCAUCAACUUGGAAAUGCCUUCAACAUGAAACGAAGAGUCAUCCUCAAAUUUUGCAGGAAAGAAGAGCCCCCUUUUGUUUGGACCUCCGAGACGUCUCACUUUCACCAUUCAUUCGGGGCGCUGGGAGGCGGAGGCCUCAGCAUUUCCUAACUUAUUUUUUUAUGAAGCACUCGCCUCACCCAGUAGACUGAGAGUGUGCUCCCCGUUGACCUCGGCUCAGAAAGAAGGGAAGUCUGAUGCUAAGCUCCUCUUCCUCUACCACGGGCUCCACGCACCCCAAGACCCCCCGGGAGGUCCCGAUCCUCCUUCAGAACCAGAGCACAAGGACCGUCUUUCAUGCUCUUUUCUUGGUAGAACCUGACCUGUUGCAGAGCCGAGCGCCCCGCCUCUGUCUUGGGCACGUGACAGUCAGCCCUCAGGAACUUAGGUCCAGACCAAUAACGGACUUGUUGGCAUCCCCUCAUCUCCCAGUUAUGAAUUCCUUGGGUUCCGUGUGUCUCUACGUUCCAGUUGGUAGCACCUAACGAGUCUGCUGAAUGGAUUUUCCCUUAGUUUGAAUCCCUGCCUGGUUUGGCCAUAAGAAAACAAAUACCAUUCAUGGGGUGUGUGACAUAGACGCUGGUGCUCCCCAAUUAUUCCAUGAGAUCCUGCAUAUUUUCCAGCCUUCCUGGCACUUAGCAUGGGGCCAGGUGACGAAUUCAAGUUCACGGGCACAAGGGGGAGUGAAGCAAUGCACAGCAUUUGCCACCCGAGGACACCGAGGAGGUUGAAAGCUGCACGCAUCUGCCGCGGUGGCUGGAAGCGAAGAACACUGAGACGGCAAAGGGGCCACAGAGAGCAUCUCUAAUGCGCACCACUGCUGAAAGGCGGCCACCAGGGAGGACGGGCUGAGCUGUAUUGGACUGCUCCGAAAGUGACAAAUAAGCCUCUGGCUUUGGAGGUUUGCUGCCACAGCAAAACUUAGCUUUACCCUGACCAACCGCGGGUGAGUUUCACAAGCUGAAAGUGUAAGGAGGAGACAAGCCCGUGGAAUAUGACAGCAUCACCGCGGGUGAGUUUCACAAGCUGAAAGUGUAAGGAGGAGACAAGCCCGUGGAAUAUGACAGCAUCACUGGCUAGCAACAUCUUCUGAUAUCCUGGAAUUAGUCGGGAUGGGCCAUGGAUCUGGAUCUGAAACUUUUAAAUCGAAAUGGGGACAAGAGCAUCCCUAUGACGUCAUUGGAGAAUCUGAGGCAUAGAGAAGCGAAGGGAUGGGCUUCUCGGAUUAGGAGUGAGCGAAGCAUGAGAAGAGAGACCUCAAUUUCCCCUGGGCUGUUUCCCACCCUUCCUAGUUGGGAUUUCUCCUCCCCCAGCAUUUGUGCCCUUUGAGUUAGUAUUCUAGGCAUGAGACUGACCUAUUUCGAAGUGGGACAGGUUGGCGUCUCUAAAGCGGGUUCCACAGAAGACUCUGUUUUGAAGCAACAUGGUGGUAAAGAGGUUAACACUGAAUGGGAGUUUUACUUCCAGGCAGGGAUCUCGAGCCCUGGUGGAAAGACUGCAGCUGCCCUGUGGCCCAGAUAAUGCAACAUCGGGCUGAGCAAGGACAUCUGAGAACAUUCUGUUCUCCUCCCCCGAGACCAAUUAAAAUCUGGAGGCAUCUUUCUUGUUGAUCGAGCUGACUAACUAAUUGAAACGGAAUUGUGAUAUUUUCAUCAGCUUUCUCUUAUCCCUCUUGGCCUUGCCAGCAGAGAGCAAGCUGAAUGAUCAGAGAGUUUCAAGCAUGUGAGGCCCAGGGAACGGAACCCCUCUCACCGUAAACCACUACAUUUCCACGGAACAAGGUUCGAAAAAGGAUGAUGCGGGGUCGAGAGUAGGGCGAUACGCUCAAAUCUCAGUCUCAGUUCAUCCAGAUACCAAAGAUACCAUCUUCGGGAUUCCUGAUGAACCAUAACGCUGUCCUUCAGCAGUUGCUGCUCCAAUAAACCAGCUUCUGACCUCUGCCUUCCUAACGAACAUCCCUCUGCCUGACUGGGGAAGCUCCUAGAAACAAAGAACCAAACGCCUCUGAGGCCCAACAAGAUCCCUUUCCUUCCAUUGAGCUAGAAUGUAUUUCCUCGGCACGUGCAAAUGGCCUAGUGGUUAAUCUUAGCAAUUGUCCCAAAGGACAUCCAAGCCUCUGAGAGUGGGUUACACGAUUGAGAUUGCAGGACCUUUUUCUGCUUCAGCAUGAAGACCUGCAUGUUAGCAUUUGUGAGGAGAGCUCAAGAUGGGGGGAAGUCCUCUUGGCUCCUGAUCUAAGGAAGAGCUGCGUCUUAAGCAUUGGUAGAAUUGCUCAUGUGUCCAGUGUGAGGUGGCCUUGGCUGACAAGCUAUCAAAAUAAAUAAAUAACAAGAAAAU
Molecule: long non-coding RNA, 3083 nt
Filed under: Sus scrofa (pig)
Lineage: Eukaryota; Metazoa; Chordata; Mammalia; Artiodactyla; Suidae
Description: lncRNA (ENSSSCG00055008125.1)
Source: RNAcentral